Molecule: long non-coding RNA, 4305 nt
Filed under: Nicotiana benthamiana
Lineage: Eukaryota; Viridiplantae; Streptophyta; Magnoliopsida; Solanales; Solanaceae
Description: long non-coding RNA (NBEN_LNC042087)
Source: RNAcentral
CCGACGAUACUUCCUGCAAAUUCGGAACCAUUACCUUCCUAAACCUUAUAUAUAUAUAUAUAUCCUCACAAUACAGNNNNNNNNNNNNNNNNNNNNNNNNNNNNNNNNNNNNNNNNNNNNNNNNNNNNNNNNNNNNNNNNNNNNNNNNNNNNNNNNNNNNNNNNNNNNNNNNNNNNNNNNNNNNNNNNNNNNNUAUAUAUAUAUAUAUAUAAUGCCAUAAUUAAUAUAGAAAUGACACAAAUCUUGGCACCCUCCAAUGCAACCCUCAUUUUCUAGUUGAAUCAUACACUUGAAAAUUUCCAAUUUUUACAUGUACAAUCUUGAACAUAUUCGAACCAUUCUGGAGAGUCAUUCACUCUACUCAAACUGCAAUUAGCCCGAUUAAACGAAUCGAACAACCUGCCUCAUUAACACUCAUACACCACAGAGUGUAGCCUCACCUUAAUGCAAUCAAGCAACUUCAUGUCCUACGUACCAAGCAUCCUUUACUAACAACAUCUCAAGACAUUCCGUGAUUCUCACACCUAUGAAGCAUACUAUAACCUUUUUCCAAAAAAAAAUUCUUUACUCGAGCCACCCUCGGUCUCAAUCUCCAUAGUCCAUAGCAGAUUCUCCCGUACGCCUCAAACUAGAACCAACAUAGAACAUAACCGUGCAAUCAACCAAGAAAUAUUAGGCUCUCCCACUUAGCUCAAUGCCAUAGACCUAAGCACACCAUAACUCAUAAUGCAUAUACUCUAUUACUGCCAUAAUACCAUAGUGAAAUUAAAAUCAUUCCUUCAUACGCCCGUGAAACAUAGACCAUUUAGUACGUUAAAUCUUCUGCAAACCUCGCAUUCGUCCACGAAACAGACAUGCCUACUCUCCUAAUUAACUCAGACUCAAUUCGAACACAUAUCUUCCACUGGUAACAGAGAUCUCCCAAAUAAAUUACAUAACGGUCAUACAAACUUCAAAACAAUCCGCAUGAGAUAACCCACUUGCUUCGCGUCAAACUGGUAUCUCUCUUUACCCCUUCCAUAAACAUAGCGAUUACACAAUCACUUAGUCUUCUUGGGUCUGAACCCAUAUUACGACAUGAAAUCUACUUCACUUCCCAACCACACAACAUGAAAAGAUUCUUCACACCCUAUAACUCGGGGCUAUAUAUCAAAUUAAGAUGGAAAUCAAUCACCUAAUAGUUCUUUCUACCCAUACGUAACCUCUUCUUUCCAUAUUCGAACAAUCAGAACAUAUCUCGUAGUCACAUCAUACUCAUCACUUUCCUAUCCAGUCAUCACUUCCCUUGAUAGGGACACUAUCGAACAUAUAAAUCCAGAUUCAUGUGCUCAUACAAUUAGAACCUCGGUGCUCAAGCUGCAGGCAAAAUCCAGCCUCAAGUCCUCCGGACUGACCCAUCCUCAAUACUGAGAAAAUCACAUCUCGCCCAUCGAUCAAGGAAUAAAUCGAUGCACGUCUGAUACUGUGCGCCCAUGUGCGCAUACGAACACAUGGAAGGAAUUUCAAGAGUUACAUUUCAAGCUGAAUCAAUGACGCACGAUAAGAAUUCAAGAAUGUGGAAGUUUUCCUAAAGGUUCUGUAGCCUCUCGAAGGUAAGUACAGGCGUCUCUGUACCAAUCCGCAAGACUUUACAAAACCUGGUCAUGACUCGUGAAACCUAUGUAACCUUGACUCUGAUACUAACUUGUCACAACCCCAAACCCCGAUCCGAUCGUGAUGGCACCUCUCAUGAAGACAAUGCCAGCCAACCAACCCAUUUCACCUUUUUAGAAUAUUUAAUAUUACAAAACAAUUUUGAGCAUGAUUAGACAAACACAGUCUAUACAAAAGAAUUCUUUUUAAAGUGUGGAAUACAGCCAACACUGGGGUGUCACAAGUCACGAGCAUCUAUUAGAGCAUAAAUAAAACUACAGGGCCUGAAAUAUACAAAAUAAGACUAAUAAACAAAAGAAAGAAAUACGGUGAUGCGAAUGUUGGCAGUCACCUCGCUAAACUCUGAUAACUUAGCCUCCGAUCAGCUCAAAACACGCUACCAGGUGAACAAAUACCUGCAUCUGCACACGAGGUGCAUGGAGUAAAGUGAGUACUCUAACUCAGUGAGUAAUAUAGGUAAAUAAUAAUUUAGCAAUAAGAAAUCACGUAAAACAGACCGUCAUGCUGUAUAGAGCAGUGUAAAACCCCUUGAGAAAAAAAGCACUGAAGCUGUGAAAUCUUUAGAAAAAACAUCUUAGCUCAGUUUAAACUUCUUUUGAAAAUGACUUUUUCAACGAUUACGCAAAUGAUUUUACUCUUACUUAUAAUUUAUAGAACAUAAUAUAUUAAAAAUAUAUAUAUAUGGUUUCAUAUAUUUACAUAGCUUAUUUAAUUAAUUGAAAUUAAUUUAUUUUAAUUUAAAAGAUUAGAUUGGUUAUUUUAUGAACUUUUAAAAAUUGGAGAAGUGCAAUUUUGGCCCCAAUUUUAGACAAAUAGAAACCCAAAUUUGGGCAGCCCAAUCUGAUGACACUUUGACCCAUGACCCAAACCCAAACCACCUGACCCGCCUCACUAGUUGUUCUAAUCGCGGUGCUCCAUCACCUCAGAUCCUAGGGCCAAGAUUAUUUUCCCUCACCUCAUAUAGAAUCAUUUUUGCCAUAACCCUAACUCUAUCUCUUCUAACCAAAUCGACGCCCCCACCCCAUUCCCAUCUCUGCCCGCCUCCAAACUCGCCGGAACUCGCCUCAGACCCGGCGAGUUAACCCAUUGCCCCCUCCCCCCCCCUCCCCAUGGUUCCCCCUUCUUUCUUCUCCUUCUUCCACGUAGCUAAUCUCAACGAAUUUCAUCAUUGCAAUCCGAUUCACGCUUGCAAUCCGAUUCACGCGGAUUUCUUCUUUUAUCUCUUUUACUUUUGUACAAAAUCUGAGCCCUUGGAAUAAAGGUUGGAAAAUGAGAGCCAUUGGAUUAAAAAUCUUGAUCCAAGACUUCCAUUUUUUUAUUUUUGUUCAAACAAGGAUUUUCGGAUUUGGAGGAUUUUCGAUUGUCUUGAAGAAGAAAAAUAGAAGCUUCUAGGGUGUAGAUAUAUUUGGGUUCUUGGGACAGAAAGAAAAGGAGGAUCGGAACAAAUUUUCAGAGAAAAAAAGUUCUAGGGCUCGGUUUUAGGCUUGGAAUAGCUCUCUUCUCUUCUGUUUUUUUUCAUUUGAAAUUCCACAAUAAAGGUCAUUCGAAAUCAGUUUUCUUGUUCUGUUUGUUGUUUCAAAAGUCAGAAAAAUAAAACAAUAAAAAACAUACAAAAAAAUUAGUUCAUUUCCUUCUCUGGAAUUCCAAUUUUUUGAUUUUAGAAUGGAGUGUGAUUGAGUUUCGAUGGUGCUCGUUCGACGUUCUGUUUGUCGUUUGUGGUUCGAGCUCGUGGUUCCGGAUUCGAUUGUCGAUGUUUCAUCCAUUCCCUACUAAGUUCAUCGAUCAAUUUUGGCUUGUAUCACAUUCGAACAUAAAAGGAUAAUCGAAAUCUCAAUUUUUAGGUUCAUCUCUUCCUCCUACUCUUAUGUGUAUUAUGAAUCAAAGCCACAGAGGGAGCCAUUUUAAGAUAGACUAAUCAGUAGUAGUUUGAGAUUUAACUGAUUUUUCUUUCUGAUUUUGGCUGUGGUUGUUGUAACUCUUUGAGCUUCCUUUUUGGUAGAAAUGUGUUUGAUUCCCAUGGUAUCGCUUUGCCGCCCUUCUGUUUUCUUUUAUGAAUAACGUUGAAUGAGUUUCCCGUCUUAAGAUAUGGUAAAUACUAACAAGUUUUGAAAGGUUAAUUCAAGUUCGUUGUGAUAGAUCUUUUCUUCAAUGUGGUUCCGCUAUCCGAUUUAUCUUCAUGUCCCAACCUGUAAUGCUAGGAUUUUGUUUCAUGUGAAUUGAAAAGUGAUUCUAGUUAUGUAGUAACUCGUUAUCCCAAUUGGAUUUGAUGUUGAAUCGACCUCAAAGUUGAAACAGUAUUUUGUAGUCCCCUAUGAGGUCGUUGGCAUGUUGUUCAAUGAGCUGUUCUAAAAGUUAUCUCUCUUUCAUUUAGAACAAAAAAAAUCACUGUUCUAAAGGAUGAAUAUGGCUUCCAACGAUGUCCAGAUUGCAAGGAAAACGGGCUAAUUCGAUGUCCAGUUUGCUGUGAUUAUUAAAAACUUUGUCGGUCCUUUUGAAUAAUUGUUUCUCCUUUUGAAUUGAUAUUUGUUAUACAGUGAGGAGUUUUGAUUGAACUACUGAUAGUAUAAAAAGUUAUAAAUUCAAGCUAUGUAGUUGUGGUGUAAGAGUCUCAUGCAGUAAUACAUUUUCACGAGAAGCCUACACAAUUUUUCA